CGUAAAGAACCUGCCUCAUAGACUGGGACAACAUUGGAAACGAUAGCUAAUACCGGAUAACAGUAUUUCUCGCAUGAGAGAUAUUUAAAAGUUGGUUAUGCUAACACUAUGAGAUGGCUUUGCGGUGCAUUAGCUAGUUGGUGGGGUAAAGGCCCACCAAGGCGACGAUGCAUAGCCGACCUGAGAGGGUGAUCGGCCACACUGGGACUGAGACACGGCCCAG
RNAcentral lists this ribosomal RNA (223 nucleotides) under uncultured bacterium. RNAcentral describes it as "partial 16S ribosomal RNA". It matches the Rfam family "Bacterial small subunit ribosomal RNA", at positions 116 to 334 of the family's 1533-position model. The record is from RNAcentral.